UUGCGUAGGUGGCAUAGAAAGCGGACAGUGAAAGCGCGUGGCUCAACCAUACAUCCAUUGUCUGAACUCCUAAGCUAGAGGACGAGAGAGGCAGAUGGAAUUCUUGAUGUAGGGGUAAUAUCCGUAGAUAUCAGGAGGAACACCGAUGGCGUAAGCAGUCUGCUGGCUCGUUCUGACACUAAGGCACGAAAGCGUGGGGAGCAAACA
RNAcentral lists this ribosomal RNA (207 nucleotides) under uncultured bacterium. Its description in RNAcentral is "partial 16S ribosomal RNA". It matches the Rfam family "Bacterial small subunit ribosomal RNA", at positions 567 to 774 of the family's 1533-position model. The record is from RNAcentral.